Molecule: ribosomal RNA, 512 nt
Filed under: uncultured Prevotella sp.
Lineage: Bacteria; Pseudomonadati; Bacteroidota; Bacteroidia; Bacteroidales; Prevotellaceae
Description: partial 16S ribosomal RNA
Source: RNAcentral
CACGGAAUUAGCCGGUCCUUAUUCGUAUGGUACCUGCAAAUAGGGACACGUCCCUAACUUUAUCCCCAUACAAAAGCAGUUUACAACCCAUAGGGCCGUCAUCCUGCACGCUACUUGGCUGGUUCAGACUUCCGUCCAUUGACCAAUAUUCCUCACUGCUGCCUCCCGUAGGAGUUUGGACCGUGUCUCAGUUCCAAUGUGGGGGACCUUCCUCUCAGAACCCCUACUGAUCGUUGCCUUGGUGGGCCGUUACCCCGCCAACAAGCUAAUCAGACGCAUCCCCAUCCAUUACCGAUAAAUCUUUACUUCAAAUCUGAUGCCGUCAUCGAAGACUAUGCGGUAUUAGUCUGCCUUUCGGCAGGUUAUCCCACAGUAAUGGGAAGGUUGGAUACGCGUUACUCACCCGUGCGCCGGUCGACGUCCAAAGAGUGCAAGCACUCAAUGCCGUUUCCCCUCGACUUGCAUGUGUUAAGCCUGUAGCUAGCGUUCAUCCUGAGCCAGGAUCAAACUCU